RNAcentral lists this microRNA (22 nucleotides) under Gadus morhua (Atlantic cod). RNAcentral's name for it is "Gmo-Novel-5_5p (mature (guide))". The record is from RNAcentral. Lineage: Eukaryota; Metazoa; Chordata; Actinopteri; Gadiformes; Gadidae.
AAGGACAUUAUUUAUUGAUAAU